Molecule: non-coding RNA, 1331 nt
Organism: Kogia breviceps (pygmy sperm whale)
Lineage: Eukaryota; Metazoa; Chordata; Mammalia; Artiodactyla; Physeteridae
Source: RefSeq, a predicted model, not a curated record
UGGUCCCUCCUUCAGCCCAGUCCUAUCCCCUUCCAGAGGCUCACUUUCACUUUCCUAGGGACAGCUGGCGGGACCCACAAUGCCCUCCUUCCACCUGGGUUUUGGGUGAGAGUCCGGUUGCCUCUGAGGACAGGGAUUUAUGGGUCUAGAGGAUUGUUCCCAAGCCGGGAAAUUUGAGCUUCCUUCCCAUCACCUCCAAAGUCACCUUAGGGCAGAGCCUGCAAGGAUCGGGUUAGCUGAGCAGCAUCUGGUGCUGCUGGUGGCUGGCUUCCAGCCUAGGCUCCAGGUCUGGGUCCAGGGCCCCUCCCUGCCUCCUCCCUGCCACUCCCUGGGUCCCUGCUCAGCUCCGAUUGCUCUGGCUCUGGAGGAACCCCAGGCACCUUGCUGCAGCCUUUGCUGGUGUCAGUUACACCCCCACCUCCACCCCUAGGACUGGCUCACGUGGCCCAAAGGCCACCCUUAGAUAAAAGGGACACUAAAACUGGAGAGGGUCAUGAAGGAACCCGAGGAAAUCACGGCAAGGGGAUGGGGGAGGGGUGAACGGAGCAGCACAAGUUCAGUGACAGGGCGCAACCCAACCUCCUCUUAGAACAAAUCAAGGAAGUAUUGCCCAGUAAGCCUUCCGGGGACAGGCCUGCUCCCGGCAGAACUGCGAGCAGAAGGGAAAUGAAAUUCCCCAGGACCGCUGUGAAAGACAAUUAAGCCACUGCCUGACCAAAGAAGGGAGGCUAAGAUUCACGCCAACAGCCAUUCACGCCAACACUGCAACCCGUCCACACUGAGUGCCCCACAGCAAGAUGGGGGACCAGGGGAGGAGAGAAACAAAGGCUUUGAUCUGUAAGCACCCGGGACUCCCUGGGGGAGCGCUGGGAGGAGCUGGAGAAGACAAGGGGAAGAGAGGAGGUAGGCUGGGACUUGGGGUAUUCUGGGGUCUGGAGAUGUGCAUCCAUUCCAGACCCUUGUUCUGGGGACCCUGGACACCUGAAGCAGCAAAAGCCAGCACUCAGGAGGUUCAGGGCCAAUAAGAUGCCCCGUAGGCUACGAAAAGUCCUCCAGCAGUGACAGAUAAGCCCUCCUACCUGCUCUUGGCUGCCCAGGGGCUGAUGGGGUAUGAGGGCUGAGCUGGGUCAGGCCAGCAUUCACGAGGGCUGAACCACCAGCAGGUCUGGGAUGGGAAUGCUCCCGGCAGAGGACCACGUGAGUACAAAGGCCCAGAGAUCAUCUAAGCCUGGAAGGUUUGAGGAGCCACAGGAAGACCAGUGAGGCUGAAGCAGGGGAUGCCUUCCCAGACGCAGACUCCAAUGCAGACAGCGAGCUGGAUGAGGCAGUGG